GAUGAAGAACGCAGCGAAAUGCGAUAACUAAUGUGAAUUGCAGAAUUCAGUGAAUCAUCGAGUCUUUGAACGCACAUUGCGCCCUCUGGUAUUCCGGAGGGCAUGCCUGUCCGAGCGUCAUUGCUGCCCUCCAGCCCGGCUGGUGUGUUGGGCCCCGUCCCCCUUCCCGGGGGGACGGGCCCGAAAGGCAGCGGCGGCACCGCGUCCGGUCCUCGAGCGUAUGGGGCUUUGUCACCCGCUCUUGUAGGCCCGGCCGGCGCCAGCCGACCCCCUCAAUCUAUUUUUCAGGUUGACCUCGGAUCAGGUAGGGAUACCCGCUGAACUUAAGCAUAUCAAUAAGCGAGGA
Molecule: unclassified non-coding RNA, 346 nt
Filed under: soil metagenome
Description: partial contains 5.8S ribosomal RNA, internal transcribed spacer 2, and large subunit ribosomal RNA
Rfam family: 5.8S ribosomal RNA (bases 1-120)
Source: RNAcentral